AAAAAGACAAACCUAGUUUCCGUGUCUAAUAUUUAACCGUUCGUCUUAUUUAAAAAAAUAUAAAAAAAAUUAAAAAAACAAGUCACACAUAAAAUAUUAAUCAUAUUUUAUCAUCUAACAACAAUGAAAAAUAUGAAUUAUAAAAAAAUUUUAUAUAAGACAAAUAGUUAAAGUUGGACACGAAAACCUAUAGUUUGCUUUUUU
Non-coding RNA from Oryza nivara, 204 nucleotides. The record is from Rfam. NCBI's taxonomy places the organism in Eukaryota, Viridiplantae, Streptophyta, Magnoliopsida, Poales, Poaceae.